AUAUUUAAGUUGUUGCAGUUAAAAAGCUCGUAGUUGGACUUAGGAGUGGGUCGGCCGGUCCGCCUCACGGUGAGUACCAGUCUGCUCAUCCCUACUACCGGCGAUACACUCCUGGCCUUAAUAUGCUGGGUCGUUCUUCCGGCGCUGUUACUUUGAAGAAAUUAGAGUGCUCAAAGUAGGCCUACGCUUGUAUACAUUAGCAUGGGAUAAC
This 211-nucleotide non-coding RNA is filed under the name Gossypium arboreum. Its description in RNAcentral is "Eukaryotic small subunit ribosomal RNA". It matches the Rfam family "Eukaryotic small subunit ribosomal RNA", at positions 601 to 818 of the family's 1831-position model. Lineage: Eukaryota; Viridiplantae; Streptophyta; Magnoliopsida; Malvales; Malvaceae. The record is from Rfam by way of RNAcentral.